Molecule: ribosomal RNA, 497 nt
Filed under: uncultured Pseudomonadota bacterium
Lineage: Bacteria; Pseudomonadati; Pseudomonadota
Description: bacterial SSU rRNA
Rfam family: Bacterial small subunit ribosomal RNA
Source: RNAcentral
UGGGGAAUAUUGGACAAUGGGCGCAAGCCUGAUCCAGCAAUGCCGCGUGAGUGAUGAAGGCCUUAGGGUUGUAAAGCUCUUUCGGCGGGGAAGAUGAUGACGGUACCCGCAGAAGAAGCCCCGGCUAACUUCGUGCCAGCAGCCGCGGUAAUACGAAGGGGGCUAGCGUUGUUCGGAAUUACUGGGCGUAAAGGGCGCGUAGGCGGCGCGUUAAGUCAGGUGUGAAAGCCCUGGGCUCAACCCAGGAAUUGCACUUGAUACUGACGUGCUUGAAUCCGGAAGAGGAUGACGGAAUUCCCAGUGUAGAGGUGAAAUUCAUUGAUAUUGGGAAGAACACCAGUGGCGAAGGCGGUCAUCUGGUCCGGUAUUGACGCUGAGGCGCGAAAGCGUGGGGAGCAAACAGGAUUAGAUACCCUGGUAGUCCACGCCGUAAACGAUGAGUGCUAGACGUCGGGGGGUUGCCUCUCGGUGUCGCCGCUAACGCAUUAAGCACUCCG